Molecule: RNA transcript, 860 nt
Organism: Magnolia sinica
Lineage: Eukaryota; Viridiplantae; Streptophyta; Magnoliopsida; Magnoliales; Magnoliaceae
Gene name: lanC-like protein GCR2
Exons: 2
Source: RefSeq, a predicted model, not a curated record
UGAAGGAGACUUGGGUACGGGUUGGACGGUGUGUUAGGGAUUUCACUCUCUACACUGGCUCCCUUGGGACAGCAUUCUUACUUUUCAAAGCAUAUGAAGUCACCAAGAACAAGAAUGAUCUCAAUCUCUGCAUUGAAAUUGUACAAUAUCCAGGCUAUCUCUAAAAUGAUUCUGAAGAAUGUUUAGUAUGAGAAAUCAUUGAAAAACUCUGCAUUGAUCUUUCAAAAUAAAAUAAAAAAUAUGCAUUGCCUGGGUGACUAUAUGGUGUAAUAACAAACGAUCUUGGGAUAUGCUGUGGAUUGUGCGUGAAAGGAGCCUCUAGAAGGAGCAUUUUGUUUUAAGGUGGACCUUGACGGGUAUUGCACUAUUAUCAUCUUGCUGCUUACUGUGUGCAUCUUUGUAUAUGCAGACAUGUGACAUUCAUCUGUGGUCGGGCUGGUGUGUGCGCCCUUAGUGCCGUGGCUGCAAAGAACGCUGGGGAUCAUGCACUGCUCAACCACUACCUAUCCCAGUUCAAAGCGGUAAUGCUUUGAAAAUUUGUUGGCUAGAAAGUUAGUAAUGGUUGUCUUCUCGAGCCGAAAAAGAUAUUUAUGCGGUAGUAAACCAUUGUUUCUUUGUUUGGAAUUCUAAAUGCUUAUUGGUUACCCUUGUAACUCUUGUGUACUAUCCAUUUUUUGUUCCUUGUCAGAUGUACUACCUCAUUUGGCCAUCAUUUCUCUUGGGGGUUUCUGGACUGUGUAUGAAUUGCCACUUCAUAGGGUAUGGUCGUGAACGAAAUCAUCAAGGAUGGAAUACGAUUAGCUAACAAGGGUAGUUGCCCAUUGAUGUACGUAGCAUUUAUUUCGGUCCAAUAAAGUCAA